Long non-coding RNA from Clupea harengus (Atlantic herring), 671 nucleotides. Lineage: Eukaryota; Metazoa; Chordata; Actinopteri; Clupeiformes; Clupeidae. The record is from Ensembl.
UGUGUGGUUCAUAGUUGAGUGUAUUUAUGUGUGUGUUUCAUAGUCGAGUGUAUGUGUCUGUGUGGUUCAUAGUUGAGUGUGUUUGUCUGUGUGGUUUCUUUCUCUUAAUUCCAUUUGACAUGAGAUCUAUUUGCUCUUUGUACUAGGAACUAUACUCUUUGUUCUAGGUACUAUACUCUUUGUUCUAGGUACUAUACUCUUUGUUCUAGGUACUAUACUCUUUGUUCUAGGUUCUAUACCCUUUGCAUGCUGGUCUUGAGUGUACUCUCUGUGACCAAUAAACAAUUCAUAAAUUAAUACAAUUAAUACAACUAAAAUUAAGAAAAAAGACACCAGAAGCACAAUGUAAAUGGAAUGUGUGCAAUUAUAUUAAAAAACGUAAAGACAUGGAUCUUACAUAGGAACAUUUAGACUAACAAAGACAGGACACAAUUAUGUAUAAAACAAACAACAGAGAAACACAAAAAAGAAACUGUUUUUUUUUUUUUUUUGUAACGUACAUUAAUACCUGCCGUGUGAAUUAUCACACAGAGUUUUCCGUCUCCAACAAAUAAAAAUAGAUUAAAAUAAAAUAAAAUACAGUGCAUAGAGUUACAUUUCAGACGCUGCGAGAUGUCUCAUCUGAGUAAAGUUCAGCCGGAAAACGCCUUCAUCAGUUAAGACAUGAGAAU